Molecule: transfer RNA, 71 nt
Filed under: Loxodonta africana (African savanna elephant)
Lineage: Eukaryota; Metazoa; Chordata; Mammalia; Proboscidea; Elephantidae
Rfam family: tRNA
About the family: Transfer RNA (tRNA) molecules are approximately 80 nucleotides in length. Their secondary structure includes four short double-helical elements and three loops (D, anti-codon, and T loops).
Source: Rfam by way of RNAcentral
ACAUUGCUGGUUCAGUGGUAGAAUCCUGGUCUUCCAUACCUGAGACCUGUGUUGGAUUCAUGGCCAAUGCG